This 1008-nucleotide long non-coding RNA is filed under the name Anolis carolinensis (green anole). Its description in RNAcentral is "lncRNA (ENSACAG00000041447.1)". The record is from RNAcentral. Lineage: Eukaryota; Metazoa; Chordata; Lepidosauria; Squamata; Anolidae.
AUGACCAUCCAUCAUUCGCUGCACCCUCGCAGUGAUGUUGACCGGCUCUAUCUGCCUAGAAGAUCAGGGGGCAGAGGACUCUUGCAAGUCAAACAAGCAGUCAAAGAAGAAGAACCUGCCCUGGCAGAAUAUGGAAAGCAAAGUGAAGAACCUGCUUUGAUUGAAGUCAAAAAUCAGAAACUCCUCAAAGCACAGCAGACAAAAAACCAGUACAAGAAAACCGCACUACAAACUAGAGCUGACAGCUGGCACAACAAAACAUUGCAUGGGAAGUUCCUUGACAAAAUUAAAGGAAAAGCUGAUAAGGAGAAGACCUGGCUCUGGCUCACGAAUGGGACCCUGAAGAAGGAGACAGAAGGCCUGAUCCUUGCAGCCCAGGAGCAAGACAUCAGGACAAAGGCAAUUCAGGCCAAGAUCGAAAAAUCAGCUGAUGACCCAAAAUGCAGACUGUGCAAGGAAACCGACGAAACCAUUGAUCAUAUCCUCAGCUGCUGUAAGAAAAUCGCACAGACAGACUACAAACAGAGGCACAACUAUGUGGCCCAAAUGAUUCAUUGGAACCUAUGCCUCAAGUACGACCUGCCAGCAGCAAAGAACUGGUGGGAUCACAAACCUGCAAAAGUAUUGGAAAAUGAGAACGCAAAGAUACUGUGGGACUUCCGAAUCCAGACUGACAAAGUUCUGGAACACAACACACCAGACAUCACAGUUGUGGAAAAGGAAAAGGUUUGGAUCAUUGAUGUUGCCAUCCCAGGUGACAGUCGCAUUGAUGAAAAACAACAGGAAAAACUCAGCCGCUAUCAGGACCUCAAGAGUGAACUUCAAAGACUCUGGCAGAAACCAGUGCAGGUGGUCCCGGUGGUGAUGGGCACACUGGGUGCCGUGCCAAAAGAUCUUAGCCGGCAUUUGGAAACAAUAGACAUUGACAAAAUUACGAUCUGCCAACUGCAAAAGGCCACCCUACUGGGAUCUGUUCGCAUCAUCCAAAAAUACAUCAUACAGUCCUAG